AGUGAACGCUGGCGGUAGGCCUAACACAUGCAAGUCGAACGGCAGCACAGUAAGAGCUUGCUCUUACGGGUGGCGAGUGGCGGACGGGUGAGGAAUACAUCGGAAUCUACUUUUUCGUGGGGGAUAACGUAGGGAAACUUACGCUAAUACCGCAUACGACCUACGGGUGAAAGCAGGGGAUCUUCGGACCUUGCGCGAUUGAAUGAGCCGAUGUCGGAUUAGCUAGUUGGCGGGGGAAAGGCCCACCACGGCGACGAUCCGUAGCUGGUCUGAGAGGAUGAUCAGCCACACUGGAACUGAGACACGGUCCAGACUCUGACGGGAGGCAGCAGUGGGGAAUAUUGGACAAUGGGCGAAAGCCUGAUCCAGCCAUACCGCGUGGGUGAAGAAGGACUUCGGGUUGUAAAGCCCUUUUGUUGGGAAAGAAAAGCAGCAGGUUAAUACCCCGCUGUUCUGACGGUACCCAAAGAAUAAGCACCGGCUAACUUCGUG
RNAcentral lists this ribosomal RNA (492 nucleotides) under uncultured bacterium. Its description in RNAcentral is "partial 16S ribosomal RNA". It matches the Rfam family "Bacterial small subunit ribosomal RNA", at positions 29 to 507 of the family's 1533-position model. The record is from RNAcentral.